AAAUUUUAAAUGAAAAAACCUUAAUUUGUGUAUUUUAUUUGUACUACAUUUCUGUAAAUUAUAUACAUACAUACAUAUGUAUGAACAUCUCCAGUAUAUUGUAUUACGUUUUAAAUUGAAUUUACUUUUUAUUAUUACACUUAUGGGUUUUUCAUCAUUGUUUUUGCAAAUAUUUAACUUUAUUUUUGUUUAAAAUAUGUGUAAAUAAUUGCUUAAUUUUUUACUCGGUUUUAUUAAUAAAUUACAAAAAAUAUAUUAACUACAAGGGUAUUAGGGCGAGUCAUAGAAAUUGUUUUCUCGAAUCGUUUCUUGGGUAAUAUUUAUAAGCUCUAGAAUGAAUGCAUUUGAACUACAUUCCUGAUCAUAUCGGGAUCAAAUCCCGGUAACUAUUUUCAUACCUAAAACAUCUCUUAUAACGAAAUCGGUUAUAACGGGUCUUCGAAUAUAACGAACUACAUUCAGUCCAUAAAGUACAAUUUCAUUAAAAUUUCCUUAUAACGAAUCAAUUUGACUGGUUCCCAGCGGUACGUUACAAACGGGUUUGACUGAAUGUCGAAGUGCUUUAUGUGAGUACCUGGCGUGUUGCCCUAUCUCACAGUGGUACUUUUUCAACCACUGGGUGAGUAAAAUGUAAACAACUCUCCACUGCCACUAUGUGUAUCUUACAUGCAGGUUACAAUUUUUGUACAUGGAUUGAGCCGGUCCAUGUACAAGCACUUUGCUCGAGUACUUGAACCAUCUAAUCUCUGACCAUUGCUGCCCCGUUGCUUAACUUCCGAGAUGUAAAACAUCACUUCCGUUUAGAACUACGCAGAUGGGAUGCAAUAGCACCUAGGGACGUAAGCGGUAGACCGAAGUACGAAUCCAUCAAAUAAGCCGAGAUUUUGUUCUCACUCAAAGGGACACAUUGUGGUAAUUCUGAUAUGAACAGAGUAUACUCUGAACAUAUCUGGACAAGGAAGACAAAUUCAAUGGUAUAAUUUGUAUAUGAUACCUUUCAUCUAUCACCAGACAACUCAGCACACAACUCAUUUAUCCGACACAUUCAUUAGAGAAAAACAUACGACACAUUUAUUAAAGGUAGACGGGUGAGUGAGAACCGCCCUACCCCACAUUCAUCCCGUACCAAUUACAAUUAAUACCAACUCAUUUCUAACGCUUAGUUCCACAGUUAAUCCUCUAUGGAGCAUCUGUUGUUUCGGCAACAUCACCGAACUUUUCCCGCGAAUUUGGGAUUUAACCACAGCUACAAUGUGGAUCGCGAAGAACCUCAACCAACUGACCAGCCAGGUCAUAGUCCUGUGGCCAGUACCAGAUUAUGUGGUGCUCUGGUUCGACCUCUAUGUAAGGACUGUAAUACCAAUUUAUAGUCCCGGCCGACUAGAGGUGUUGGUAACACCUCUGUUCCUCGGGAUUGCAAUAACACCAAGGUGGAGGUUUCACCAAGGUAACAUGCCCCCGGGGGGAAAACGGGUUAGACUGUAUGCCUUAUAGGCAGGUGAAAGAUGUUUAAAAUUCAGCCUAGCCGAACUUGUUAUCAAUCCGAAAGUUUUAUGGUUCAGCAUAGCCAAAUAUACAUAUAUCAUUCUAACUAGUUAUCUAUCCGAUUACUAGUAAAAUUAAAAAAUUUUAUUUUGAAUUAUAUACAAAAAAUUUUUUUUAAGAAAAUACAAAUUUCGUUAUUAUAUUUUAAUUAAACACACAUAUUACAUAGUUAACUAAGAUCUAUAUUUUUUCGUUCAUUUCAGAUUUACAUUAAUUCCUAAACUUAAUCUUAAUACUCAAAAUGAAACAAACUGUCGAU
Molecule: RNA transcript, 1804 nt
Organism: Lucilia cuprina (Australian sheep blowfly)
Lineage: Eukaryota; Metazoa; Arthropoda; Insecta; Diptera; Calliphoridae
Gene: Cralbp
Gene name: clavesin-2
Exons: 2
Source: RefSeq, a predicted model, not a curated record